Molecule: ribosomal RNA, 447 nt
Filed under: uncultured bacterium
Lineage: Bacteria
Description: bacterial SSU rRNA
Rfam family: Bacterial small subunit ribosomal RNA
Source: RNAcentral
CACCAGACUCCUACGGGAGGCAGCAGUGGGGAAUAUUGCACAAUGGGGGAAACCCUGAUGCAGCGACGCCGCGUGAGCGAUGAAGUAUUUCGGUAUGUAAAGCUCUAUCAGCAGGGAAGAAGAUGACGGUACCUGACUAAGAAGCCCCGGCUAACUACGUGCCAGCAGCCGCGGUAAUACGUAGGGGGCAAGCGUUAUCCGGAUUUACUGGGUGUAAAGGGAGCGUAGACGGCGAUGCAAGCCAGAUGUGAAAGCCCGGGGCUCAACCCCGGGACUGCAUUUGGAACUGUGUGGCUGGAGUGUCGGAGAGGCAGGCGGAAUUCCUGGUGUAGCGGUGAAAUGCGUAGAUAUCAGGAGGAACACCGGUGGCGAAGGCGGCCUGCUGGACUGCAACUGACGUUGAGGCCCGAAAGCGUGGGGAGCAAACAGGAUUAGAUACCCGCGUAC